Molecule: unclassified non-coding RNA, 306 nt
Filed under: plant metagenome
Description: partial contains 5.8S ribosomal RNA, internal transcribed spacer 2, and large subunit ribosomal RNA
Rfam family: 5.8S ribosomal RNA (bases 1-105)
Source: RNAcentral
GAAAUACGAUAAGUAAUGUGAAUUGCAGAAUUCAGUGAAUCAUCGAAUCUUUGAACGCACAUUGCGCCCGCCAGUAUUCUGGCGGGCAUGCCUGUCCGAGCGUCAUUUCAACCAUCAAGCCCCCGGGCUUGUGUUGGGGACCUGCGGCUGCCCGCAGGCCCUGAAAACCAGUGGCGGGCUCGCUGUCACACCGAGCGUAGUAGCAAUCACCUCGCUCAGGGCGUGCUGCGGGUUCCGGCCGUUAAACAGCCUUACAAAACCCAAGGUUGACCUCGGAUCAGGUAGGAAGACCCGCUGAACUUAAGC